CCCUUAGAUGUUCUGGGCAGCACGCGCGCUACAAUGGUCUUCGCAAACGGAUGCAUUCUCGAAGGAGAAUGCCAAUCUUGAAAUCUAUGCCUUGGUCGGGACAGUUGCUUGCAAUUUUUCGACUCGAACCAGGAAUUCCUUGUAAUCGUGAUUCAUCACAUCACGAUGAAUACGUCCCUGCCCUUUGUACACACCGCCCGUCGCUCCUACCGAUCGAAGAGUUAGGUGAAUUGUUUUGAUCGAUAAGAUUUGACUAUGGUCAACUCUCGUUGUGAAAUUCUGUGAAUCUGACUGUUUAGAGGAAGGAAAAGUCGUAACA
RNAcentral lists this ribosomal RNA (319 nucleotides) under uncultured eukaryote. Its description in RNAcentral is "partial 18S ribosomal RNA". It matches the Rfam family "Eukaryotic small subunit ribosomal RNA", at positions 1470 to 1796 of the family's 1831-position model. The record is from RNAcentral.